UCCCCGUUACCGGGGCAGUCUAGCUAGAGAAAUUCAACUAACUAAAAGGGUUGCGCUCGUUGAUGGACUUAACCAAACAUCUCACGACACGAGCUGACGACGGCCAUGCAACACCUGUCACUGGAUUCCCGAAGGCACUCUCUCCUUUCGGAGAAAUUCCCAGGAUGUCAAACCUUGGUAAGGUUCUACGUUUACCAUCGAAUUAAACAACACGCUCCACCGCUUGUGCGGGUCCCCGUCAAUUCCUUUGAGUUUUAAUCUUGCGAUCGUACUCCCCAGGCGGCAUGCUUAACGCGUUAGCUUCGCUACUACCAGGGUCGAUACUGAUAACAGCUAGCAUGCAUAGUUUAGGGCGUGGACUAC
Molecule: unclassified non-coding RNA, 363 nt
Filed under: uncultured bacterium
Lineage: Bacteria
Description: contains 16S-23S intergenic spacer region
Source: RNAcentral